Molecule: ribosomal RNA, 468 nt
Filed under: uncultured bacterium
Lineage: Bacteria
Description: partial 16S ribosomal RNA
Rfam family: Bacterial small subunit ribosomal RNA
Source: RNAcentral
GACGAACGCUGGCGGCGUGCUUAACACAUGCAAGUCGAACGGAAAGGCCCUGCUUUUGUGGGGUGCUCGAGUGGCGAACGGGUGAGUAACACGUGAGUAACCUGCCCUUGACUUUGGGAUAACUUCAGGAAACUGGGGCUAAUACCGGAUAGGAGCUCCUGCUGCAUGGUGGGGGUUGGAAAGUUUCGGCGGUUGGGGAUGGACGCGCGGCUUAUCAGCUUGUUGGUGGGGUAGUGGCUUACCAAGGGUUUGACGGGUAGCCGGCCUGAGUGGGUGACCGGCGACAAUGGGACUGAGAGACGGACCAGAGUGGAAGGGGAGGCAGCAGGGGGGAAUAUUGCAAAAUGGGAGGAAGCCUGAUGCAGAAACGCCGCGUGCGGGAUGACGGCCUUCGGGUUGUAAACAGCUUUCGCCUGUGACGAAGCGUGAGUGACGGUAAUGGGUAAAGAAGCACCGGCUAACUACGUG